Molecule: ribosomal RNA, 660 nt
Filed under: uncultured bacterium
Lineage: Bacteria
Description: bacterial SSU rRNA
Rfam family: Bacterial small subunit ribosomal RNA
Source: RNAcentral
AUACAUGCAAGUCGAACGGUUGGUAGCAAUACCAAUAGUGGCGCACGGGUGCGUAACGCGUAACCAACCUACCCGAAUCUGGGGGAUAGCCCGCCGAAAGGCGGAUUAAUACCGCAUAAAACUGCAGCCUGGCAUCGGGCAACAGUUAAAGAUUUAUUGGAUUCGGAUGGGGUUGCGUGCCAUUAGCUAGUUGGCGGGGUAACGGCCCACCAAGGCGACGAUGGCUAGGGGAGCUGAGAGGCUGGUCCCCCACACGGGCACUGAGAUACGGGCCCGACUCCUACGGGAGGCAGCAGUAGGGAAUAUUGGGCAAUGGACGCGAGUCUGACCCAGCCAUGCCGCGUGCAGGAUGAAGGCUUUCUGAGUCGUAAACUGCUUUUACCAGGGAAGAAAAAAGGGGAUGCGUCCUCUACUGACGGUACCUGGUGAAUAAGCACCGGCUAACUCCGUGCCAGCAGCCGCGGUAAUACGGAGGGUGCAAGCGUUGUCCGGAUUUAUUGGGUUUAAAGGGUGCGUAGGCGGCUGAUUAAGUCUGGGGUGAAAGCCCGUUGCUCAACAACGGAACUGCCCUGGAAACUGGUUAGCUUGAGUACAGACGAGGGUGGCGGAAUGGAUACUGUAGCGGUGAAAUGCAUAGAUAGUAUCCAGAACCCCGAUUGC